CGAUCAAGUUGGGCAAUUGCCGCCCGCCCAAGGCGGGUGGAGGAAAGUCCGAACUCCACAGAGCAAAGUGCCGGAUAACGUCCGGGCAUCAAUUUUUUGAUGACGGAAAGUACCACAGAAAAUAUACCACCUCGAUGUAAGUCGAGGAAAGGGUGAAAUGGCAGGGUAAGAGCCUACCGCUCUAAAAGUAAUUUUAGAGGUUCCAGAAUUGGAAGUGACUCCCGACUUGUCGGGAGCCAUCAAGGCAAACCCCACUUGGAGAAAGGUCAAAUAGGAAAGUUCCGUCCCGAUUUCGAUUGGGAUGGCAAGGCUGCUCGCUUUGUUUAGCUUUCGGGUAGACCGAUCGAGGGUUGAAGUAAUUCAACUCCCAGACAAAUAAUUGCCGUGACGCUUUUGGCGUCAUUACAAAAUUCGGCUUAUAGACUUGAUCGUUUA
Molecule: RNase P RNA, 435 nt
Filed under: Ignavibacteria bacterium
Lineage: Bacteria; Pseudomonadati; Ignavibacteriota; Ignavibacteria
Description: RNase P RNA component class A
Rfam family: Bacterial RNase P class A
About the family: Ribonuclease P (RNase P) is a ubiquitous endoribonuclease, found in archaea, bacteria and eukarya as well as chloroplasts and mitochondria.
Source: RNAcentral